GGACAUUGUCUCCACUUGGCGUUUGACACACUGGCCCAUGGGUAGACGACGACAUGUCCCCACUAGAGGUAGAGGAGAGUGAAAUGAACAAGUCCACAGGAAAGGACUGUUAACAGCAUAGCAGUGCCGGAUUCCGGACCAUUAAACAUCCACGGAGCGACGGGAGCGCUGCAAGCCAGAGGGUCGCUGUGCAUCAAAAGUUUGAAAAAACAGGUAAGUUUCACUUUGUCUGCUAUAUUGGUUAAGCGGUAGUUAACACAGUGGGGGUGCCGCAAACGUUAGUUUUGUAUUCACUUUUGUUCUUUAAUGAACUUAUAUGGGCGUCCGUGCCAGAUGCAAAGAAGAAAACGGGUGCCCGUUCUGCCGCGCGUGUAGCCGUACUUGUGCGUCUGGUCUCCGUUUAUUCAGCCACAGCAGCUGUUGCUCGGGUUUCUUUUGAUCGCGAUCGAGGCCAAUCAGGAUAAAAUUUUGCGCUGUUGCACCGUCCUGCGCUCCGUGUCACGUUUAUUGAGCUGUGGCGCAGAAAACUAAUUCCCGCUCGAAUACUGGAUCGACGCUCGAUCGACUGGAUCCCCACCGAGCAAUAUCACUAUCUUAAGUGCACGGGGGUCACGGGUGUAAACGUGCUAUGUGCUCACACCGCACACAUCAAUCUAUAUGUUUAGAAAACAUGCAUUCCAGUUAUCAUUGGUGAUCGAAUAGUGCACUGAUAAAAUAUUCAUACCCACCAAUAUCUGUGAUGUUCAGGAGCAUCUCGAAGCACGACAAGGAUCUUAAGCUUAGUAAAAGCCAAGGUAAAUAAGCUUCUUAUUCAGCAUGAACUUUUGCACAGAAUUUCGAAUUAUACCGUUUUCACAAUAACAGUGCAGAACUCAAUCAUACCAAUAGGUAAAAAAAAACAUCGUAUUUUCAGCGCCAUACUCCUGUGAACAUCUGUACAAGCACUAGAAUUGAAUGCAGCAAAUGCUUCAUAAUGUUUACAUUUUGUACAAUGUGAAGAAUCAAUGCUGAAUGAAAAUAACAAAGAAAAUUUCAUGUGCCUGCAACUCCAGAACAAGUUUGAUAGUGGAAGAUUAAGUGCGGCACGAGAAUAAUAAUAACCACAGAAUUACAAAUUGUACCACUUUCACUGCAACAGGACAUAACUCAACCAUGCCAUAACGUCAAAAAAAGGAUUUUCGGCACCCUACUCCUGUCAGCACCUAUACAAGCGCUUCAGUCGAAUGCAGGAAAUGCUUUCACAAUGUCUGCAUUUGGUAAAAUGUUAGGAAUGACCACUGCAUGAGAAUAACAACAAACAAAACUGCACGUGACUCGAACUUCAGAACAAGUUUGAUAGUGCUUCUUCUACACCAACAGCUGUGUGCAGUAGUAACAGUGGCCAUAACUGUUCAUCCUGAACAAUGUGAAGUUUGGUUUGCCAGCACUGGUUGCAAUGAAAUUGACAAUUAUCAAACAGCUGUUACUCAUCGAGGUGGAUUUACUAGCAUCACACUCACUAGUUGCCAAACAGACCUUUUGACAUCACCGGCCCAAUUGCUGUGCACAGCUGGAACCCACAGACCUUUUAUUGCACGUAUGGUCUGAUAGAAAACAUAAAAUGGCGCUCCCAGGAUGCUAACUCAGGGAGUUUCCAUCUCAGGAGCAAGACCACACAACUACCUAGAUAUCGUACUAGGCUAAGGAGUUAGUCGGACAAAAGAUUUCCAGAAUAAACACUGUGACUCUUGUAGACCUGGGCUAACUUUUGGCUCAUCAUGGCAUGAUCAAUAGGCACCCAGCCGGCACACUGGUGAACCAAUGCAUGUUUAUUUGCUACUAGGAGUUACAUUGAUAUUCCUGAUAUGCCAUGAAGGGCCACUAGCUUUGAGUUUGGCACUACACGAGGAACUAGACAUACUGGAUGCUUGAGGAAACCAUGCAGUUUGUUCCAUGGGCCACACCGCUGCAUUAUUGACGAGAAAAAUUGAACGGUGCGCCUUUGUGGCAAGUACUGUCUCACGAUGAACCCUCCUUUUAGGUCAAAUUCUUAACCUCUCGACAAUGAAUGAGUUGAAUGCCACGGUGAAUGCUUCUUCAGAAAGACAAAUUCCAGCAGGCAUACCUGCAAUCACGAGUAGAUGAAAGCCCCCCUUAAGAUAUCGCUGUGACCACAGCAAUGUCACUCUACCGAGUCAAUUUUCAAUAUUACCACUUUCUAUAUUGCCGUAGCGCUUUUGUUAUUCCCGCAGUCCAUGAC
Molecule: long non-coding RNA, 2239 nt
Organism: Dermacentor albipictus
Lineage: Eukaryota; Metazoa; Arthropoda; Arachnida; Ixodida; Ixodidae
Source: RefSeq, a predicted model, not a curated record